This 498-nucleotide ribosomal RNA is filed under the name uncultured bacterium. RNAcentral describes it as "bacterial SSU rRNA". It matches the Rfam family "Bacterial small subunit ribosomal RNA", at positions 8 to 518 of the family's 1533-position model. The record is from RNAcentral.
AGAGUUUGAUUAUGGCUCAGAACGAACGCUGGUGGCGUGUCUUAUACAUGCAAGUCGAGCGGUCCAGCAAUGGAUAGCGGCGAACGGGUGAGUAACGCGUAAGCAAUCUGCCCCCUGCUCGGGAAUAGCCGUGCCAACGCGCGGAUAAUACCGGAUAUCGUGGGGCCCUGCAUAGGGCCUUGACAAAAGAUUUAUCGGCAGGGGAUGAGCUUGCGUCCGAUUAGCUAGUUGGCGGGCAACGGCCCACCAAGGCGACGAUCGGUAGCCGGCCUGAGAGGGUGAUCGGCCACAUUGGGACUGAGAUACGGCCCAGACUCCUACGGGAGGCAGCAGUAGGGAAUAUUGCACAAUGGGGGAAACCCUGAUGCAGCAACGCCAACCGUGUGGGAAGAAGCAUUUCGGUGUGUAAACCACUGUCGUGAGGGAAUAAGGCUGUUUUUCGGAGCAGUUGAAUGUACCUCGAGAGGAAGCACCGGCAAACUUCGUGCCAGCCGCCGC